CCUACGGGUGGCAGCAGUGGAGAAUAAUGCACGAUGGGGGAAACGCUGAUGGAGCGAAGCCGCGUGGGGGAAUGAAGGUCUACGGAUUGUAAACCCCUGUCAUGUGGGAGCAAAUUAAAAAGAUAGUACCACAAGAGGAAGAGACGGAUAACUAUGUGCGAGCAGCCGCGGUAAUACAGAGGUCUAAAGCGGUGUUCGGAAUCACUGGGCGUAAAGCGUUCGUAGGCUGUUUCGUAAGGCGAGUGUGAAAGGCGCGGGCUCAACCCGCGGACCGCACAUGAUACUGCGAGACUAGAGUAAUCGAGGAGGAUCCGGAAUUCUCGGUGUAGCAGUGAAAUGCGUAGAUAUCGAGAGGAACACUCGUUGCGAAGGCGGGUUCCUGGACAUUAACUGACGCUGAGGCACGAAGGCCAGGGGAGCGAAAGGGAUUAGAUACCCGAGUAGUC
Molecule: ribosomal RNA, 446 nt
Filed under: uncultured bacterium
Lineage: Bacteria
Description: partial 16S ribosomal RNA
Rfam family: Bacterial small subunit ribosomal RNA
Source: RNAcentral